CCUCCAGUUCUCCCAGUGACCCUCCCAGUACCCCCAGUGCCCCACCAGUGCUCCCCCAGUACCCUCCAGUUCUCCCAGUGGGCCCUCCCAGUACCCCCAGUGCCCCCCCAGUGCUCCCCCAGUAUCCUCCAGUGCUCCCAGUGCCCCUUCCAGUACUCCCAGUGCCCCCCCCGUUUUCCCAGUGCCCCUCCCAGUGCCCCUCUGUACCCUCCAGUUCUCCCAGUGCCCCCUCCCAGUGCUCCCAGUGCCCUCCCACUGCCCCUUCCCCGCCUCCCCAGUCGCCCAGCAUCCUCCCAGUUCCCCAGGGCUGGGUUGUGACUUAUGGGGCAGGGCCGUGGGGCAGGGCCAGGGUCAUGGCCGUGGGGCAGGGAUGUGGGGCAAGGGUGUGGGGCGGGGCUGUGGGGCGGGGUCAUGGCCGUGGGGCAGUUAUGGGGAAGGGNNNNNNNNNNGGUGUGGGGCAGGGGUGUGGGGCAGUUAUGGGGCAGGGCUCUGGGGCAGAGGUGUGGGGCAGGGUUAUGGGGCAGGGUCACGGCUAUGGGGCAAGGCUGUAAGGCAGUGCUAUGGGGCAGGGCUAUGGGGUGAGGUUAUGGGGCAGGGUUAUGGGGCAGAACCAUGGCUAUGGGGCAUGGUUAUGGGGCACGGUUAUGGGGCUGGGUCACAGCUAUGGGGCAGGGCUAUGGGGCGAGGUUAUGGGGCAGGGGCACAGCUAUGGGGCAGGGCUAUGGGGCGAGGUUAUGGGGCAGGGGCACAGCUAUGGGGCAGGGCUAUGGGGCGAGGUUAUGGGGCAGGGGCACAGCUAUGGGGCAGGGCUAUGGGGCGAGGUUAUGGGGCAGGGGCACAGCUAUGGGGCAGGGCUAUGGGGCGAGGUUAUGGGGCAGGGGCACAGCUAUGGGGCAGGGCUGUAAGGCAGUGUUAUGGGGCAGGGCCGUGGGGCAGGGUUAUGAGGCAGGGCUAUGGGGCAAGGUUAUGGGGCAGGGCCAUGGCUAUGGGGCAAGGCUAUGGGGCAGGGCUAUGGGGCAGAACCAUGACUAUGGGGCAGGGUUAUGGGGCAAGGUUGUGGGGCAGGGUUAUGGGGCAAAACCAUGGUUGUGGGGCAGGACUAUGGGGCAGGGCCAUGGCUAUGGGGUGAGGUUAUGGGGCAGGGCUAUGGGGCAGAACCAUGGUUAUGGGGCAAGGCUAUGGGACAUGGUUAUGGGGCAGGGCUAUGGGGUAGGGUUAUGGGGCACGGUUAUGGGGCACGGUUAUGGGGCAUGGUUAUGGGACAGGGUCACAGCUAUGGGGCAGGGCUGUAAGGCAGUGCUAUGGGGGCAGGGUUAUGGGGCAGGGUUAUGGGGCAAGNNNNNNNNNNGGUGACAUCCCCCUGCCUUUGCCCCCUGUGUCCCAUCCUGCUCCCGGUUGGGAUCAGGGGUGGUGGGGGGCACCGGGCCCCAUGUCCCUGCUGCCACAGCCCUAGGACACCGUGCCACAGGCAGGAGGUGAUGGCAGGGCCAGCAGGCAUGGGCCCCCCCACGGCGCUUUCCCUUGGCUGGAGCCACCCUCUGCCCAGCCCAAAGUCCCGCAGCGCCUCACGGCCCGGGCAAAGUCUUGCGGAGAAGCAAAGCUCUCCGCAGCCAUCCGAGCCCCAGGGGGGGGGGGGAGGCGGGGGGGGGGCCGAGCCCCCCCGUGGGGACAGCUGUGGGGCCGGGGCAGGUGGCGGCGCCCGAAAUAGCCCCACAAAUCCCCCGAGCGGAAACAGGGGGGGCCGGG
Molecule: long non-coding RNA, 1746 nt
Filed under: Anas zonorhyncha (Eastern spot-billed duck)
Lineage: Eukaryota; Metazoa; Chordata; Aves; Anseriformes; Anatidae
Description: lncRNA (ENSAZOG00000016571.1)
Source: RNAcentral